GUGAAUGUUGAUGACUGAGAGAGAAGGGAUAAACCAGAGUGUUUUACAGCAACCCAGCAGAACCAAAGGAUCUGCCAAUACUGGCGAAGUCCUUUCUCUGAACCAGACAACAGAAGCUGCUGUCCCAGUUCGUGGUUGCUCCUUCCCACUGGCAAACAGCUGGGGGGGAUCUGCUCUCAGGAGGAGGGAUAUUUUGGAAACUGGAAAACUGCCGCUUGCACCAGAAUGGCAUGCCACUAAUUUCUGCAGCUUUUUUGAAGGGAGCAUUGCCACCCGGCGAGCUCUGUCAGCCUCCUCUAGGAUUCCCCAUAGAAAUCCCCACCCUCCUACAAGAGGAGCCGUGCCCCAGGUACGCCACAUUACCCACAGCCAGCCUUGCCACUCCCAGAGAAAGUUUGUGUUGUGCCUGCUGCAGGUUGGACGUGAAGAAGUGCACAUCCCUCUUUUUUUGCCUUCUUGCUGCAGACUCAUUCAACAAGGCCAUUCAGGACUGAAUUCAUUUCCAGGACUGCAUUUGGGGAAGUCAAGACCUGAGCAGAUCCUUUUUUAUUUCUAUUCAUUCUCAGGGUGGUUCUUCUCAAACCAAAUGAAGCAGUCAGAAAGCGCUCCUCGACGAGUUGGGCCUAGCAAUAUGGCAGCGCACGUUCGAUAAGAAAUCCCGUCCAGUGCUGCUACGAGGACCAUGUGCUCCCUGACCCAUUGCCUCGACUGCACACGCUGCAGGGCGAGGGCUUUUGGAAAGCUGAGGGCUCUCGAGUUGCACGUGGGCUCCUACCUAAAAGCUUUCCUGGUUUUGCAAAGAUGCUGAACCCUUG
This 815-nucleotide long non-coding RNA is filed under the name Numida meleagris (helmeted guineafowl). RNAcentral's name for it is "lncRNA (ENSNMEG00000012218.1)". Lineage: Eukaryota; Metazoa; Chordata; Aves; Galliformes; Numididae. The record is from RNAcentral.